RNAcentral lists this transfer RNA (49 nucleotides) under Diadema setosum. Its description in RNAcentral is "partial tRNA-Lys". The record is from RNAcentral. Lineage: Eukaryota; Metazoa; Echinodermata; Echinoidea; Diadematoida; Diadematidae.
CUUUAAACUCUUAAUUUAAAAGAAAGUAGUUAAAUUCUACUAUUAAGGG